RNAcentral lists this long non-coding RNA (1323 nucleotides) under Brassica rapa (field mustard). RNAcentral describes it as "long non-coding RNA (BRAP_LNC003615)". The record is from RNAcentral. Lineage: Eukaryota; Viridiplantae; Streptophyta; Magnoliopsida; Brassicales; Brassicaceae.
GUAUCGAUCAUAGGAUUCAAGGAUUUCAGACAAGUAUCUGGAACGACAGGUAAAAGUUAGUUCCUAAUUUCUCUCUCUCUAAUUUCUCUCUUGAGUCAAAGUCUGCUUCCAUUGCAGGAUCAUUGACCAAGAUUAGACAUGCUUCCAUGAAUCAAAACUUAAUGGUGGUUGCCACCAAGCUCUGUUCACUUCUUUUUGACCUAUAUCCAAGAAUUCUUUGUGAAAGCGAGCCUUGAAGAUUGCCGCCUCCAAGUCCCGUUUCAAACUCUUUUAUUGGAGUCUUAUAUGAAUCAAACCUUAAUGGUUUUAGCCACCAAGUCCUGUUCAGACUCAUCCUAAGUAAACAAUAGAUCCCUUAUUUUUUUAUUUUAUUUUUUUUUUACAUUUUUUUUUCUAAAAUAGAAAUAGCUAAUCUAGGGUCGUAAUUAGAGAGAGGAAUGUGAUAUAUAAUUCUACACAAGGCUUUACCUUCCAGACUUGUCUGAAGAAUCCGAUCCCAUGUAUACCAAACCCCAAGACAAGCAGUGAAGUCAGGUUAGUGUUGGAGGUUAGCUUUGGUUCUUUCUAACAAGCUAGCAAGUGUGUAUAGUUGACUGGUUGAUCCACUUUAGCAUCUAUAGAAUUAUCUGCAAUCAGUAAUUCUAGAAUGGUGCUAGAAAGUGGUUAGACAUUCAAGUAGAAAUCAUUAGUUCAUAAUCCCCUUCUUGAAACGCCAGAGUUUCCCUUCCUCGAGCCAUAGCGAGUGCACCAAGUGCUGCUCGUCGAGGAAGGCGUGGUCGCGGUCGGCAGAGCGAGGGUCGAGGCGGAUGCCGAGGUACUGGAAAAUCGGGGUUAGAAGACUCCCAACUGUCUCCUUCUUCUUACCCUUGCUGUUGAAAGGCUUCUUCUUCAACUACAUCAAGUGCGCGGCAAAGACAGCUCCGAGGUUCGGCGGCCUUACUUUGCCGUCCUCGUCCAACUCAACCAAAUCCACCACGCCAUUCACUGCACAGAAAAGUAAUGUGAGCUCCUUUAUCCUGACCUUGUUGGGCUCCAUCUUGCAAACCAGUGUGUUUGCAAGGAGCCGUAGGAAAUAGCGAAGUGCAGGAUGGCGGAUGUCUGAUAGCACGGCCCUGUUUGUGUCCCAAACUCCUGUGCUGACGAUAUCCCAGAAUCUCUCGAGGUGUGGGAAAGGUGGGAAGGAGGUGACGCUCUCAUCGAAACCGUAGAUGCGGCAGAGCUCGAUGAUAGUGAUCCUGUAGCGUGUCCCUCUAGCAAAGAAGGUCAAAGUACCAUCUCCCGCUACCCCCGCUGAUGAAGUCCUGUAGGUGACCUCGACAGUGG